Molecule: ribosomal RNA, 465 nt
Filed under: uncultured bacterium
Lineage: Bacteria
Description: partial 16S ribosomal RNA
Rfam family: Bacterial small subunit ribosomal RNA
Source: RNAcentral
GAUGAACGCUGGCCGCGUGCUUAACACAUGCAAGUCGAACGGAAAGGCUCCUGCUUGCAGGGGUACUCGAGUGGCGAACGGGUGAGUAACACGUGGGUGAUCUGCCCUGCACUUCGGGAUAAGCCUGGGAAACUGGGUCUAAUACCGGAUAGGACCACAUUUUGGAUGGUGUGGUGGAAAGUUUUUCGGUGUGGGAUGAGCUCGCGGCCUAUCAGCUUGUUGGUGGGGUAAUGGCCUACCAAGGCGUCGACGGGUAGCCGGCCUGAGAGGGUGUACGGCCACAUUGGGACUGAGAUACGGCCCAGACUCCUACGGGAGGCAGCAGUGGGGAAUAUUGCACAAUGGGCGCAAGCCUGAUGCAGCGACGCCGCGUGGGGGAUGACGGCCUUCGGGUUGUAAACUCCUUUCGCUAGGGACGAAGCGCAAGUGACGGUACCUGGUGAAGAAGCACCGGCUAACUACGUG